Molecule: long non-coding RNA, 822 nt
Organism: Myodes glareolus (Bank vole)
Lineage: Eukaryota; Metazoa; Chordata; Mammalia; Rodentia; Cricetidae
Source: RefSeq, a predicted model, not a curated record
CUUCCUGAAGUUCAGAAAGCCAGUGCAGACAGGGGCCAGACACGAUGCAGGUGCUUUACUCUGGUGUGAUGCAAUCAAGAGGUCCUGAGACCCGAAGCCAACAGGACUCCAGAAAGACGUCUCCAGCUGAGGUCAUCUCCUGAACCACGGUCUUCCUGUGGCUGACGGUCUCUCAUGCCACGCUCCUUCCCCGAAGCCUGCAGGUGAACAGAUGUUUCUGAUGAUGGAGAGCAGCCCUGCACAUGUCCUACACGCCAGCCCACAGAGCACGUCCUCACACCACAGCUCCUGAUCUUCAAAAUAAUUCCCGGAGGUGGGAAGGCAUACACCCCAUUACCACAUGAAGACAAAGCCUGCGGUGCCACAGAGGUUCGCAUAUCCUGGAUCACCGUGCCCCUCAGCCUCUUCUACCACUCUGACCCACGUCAGUCCUCCGGAGUCCAAGUUCCCUCCCAGGAGAGAUACGUGGGCCACCUGCUCUGCUAAAAACCAACAGAGAAAGGAGCAGCCCUUUCCUAAGCCUCUCUACCUCCUCAACAGGUCUCAUCUCUAGUACCAUCUUCAUGGGGGUAAGCGGAACACGGGCCAGUUCGAAUCUAUUUAUUACAGACACCACAGGCAGUCCAGCUACAAAUCUAACUAUUCUAGAGUUAUGUUCUUCCACUAAACAAACACUUGUUUUCUGUGGAAAAAAACAAAAACAUUCCUUUUUCAAUUUUCUGGCUAAAAUAAAGUGUAAGAAUCACCCUGCUGAAGCACGAGUAAUGAAAACUCAGAGACAGAAAUGGGGUUUCAACCUGAAGAUCCGAAAAGCAAAGCAGC